UACGGGGGGGGCAAGCGUUGUUCGGAAUUACUGGGCGUAAAGGGCUCGUAGGUGGCCAACUAAGUCAGACGUGAAAUCCCUCGGCUUAACCGGGGAACUGCAUCUGAUACUGGAUGGCUAGAGAUUGGGAGAGGGAUGCGGAAUUCCAGGUGUAGCGGUGAAAUGCGUAGAGAUCAGGAAGAACAUCGGUGGCGAAGGCGCUCUGCUGGACCAUAACUGACACUCAGGGACGAAAGCUAGGGGAGCGAAUGGG
Molecule: ribosomal RNA, 253 nt
Filed under: uncultured bacterium
Lineage: Bacteria
Description: partial 16S ribosomal RNA
Rfam family: Bacterial small subunit ribosomal RNA
Source: RNAcentral